AGAACGAACGCUGGCGGCAUGCCUAACACAUGCAAGUCGAACGAGACCUUCGGGUCUAGUGGCGCACGGGUGCGUAACGCGUGGGAAUCUGCCCUUGGGUUCGGGAUAACAGUUGGAAACGACUGCUAAUACCGGAUGAUGUCUUCGGACCAAAGAUUUAUCGCCCAGGGAUGAGCCCGCGUAGGAUUAGCUUGUUGGUGAGGUAAGAGCUCACCAAGGCGACGAUCCUUAGCUGGUCUGAGAGGAUGAUCAGCCACACUGGGACUGAGACACGGCCCAGACUCCUACGGGAGGCAGCAGUGGGGAAUAUUGGACAUGGGCGAAAGCCUGAUCCAGCAAUGACCGCGUUGAAGUGAU
RNAcentral lists this ribosomal RNA (357 nucleotides) under uncultured soil bacterium. RNAcentral describes it as "bacterial SSU rRNA". It matches the Rfam family "Bacterial small subunit ribosomal RNA", at positions 26 to 412 of the family's 1533-position model. The record is from RNAcentral.